RNAcentral lists this ribosomal RNA (490 nucleotides) under uncultured bacterium. RNAcentral's name for it is "partial 16S ribosomal RNA". It matches the Rfam family "Bacterial small subunit ribosomal RNA", at positions 30 to 507 of the family's 1533-position model. The record is from RNAcentral.
AUUGAACGCUGGCGGCAGGCCUAACACAUGCAAGUCGAACGGUAACAGGAAGAAGCUUGCUUCAUUGCUGACGAGUGGCGGACGGGUGAGUAAUGUCUGGGAAACUGCCUGAUGGAGGGGGAUAACUACUGGAAACGGUAGCUAAUACCGCAUAACGUCGCAAGACCAAAGAGGGGGACCUUCGGGCCUCUUGCCAUCGGAUGUGCCCAGAUGGGAUUAGCUAGUAGGUGGGGUAACGGCUCACCUAGGCGACGAUCCCUAGCUGGUCUGAGAGGAUGACCAGCCACACUGGAACUGAGACACGGUCCAGACUCCUACGGGAGGCAGCAGUGGGGAAUAUUGCACAAUGGGCGCAAGCCUGAUGCAGCCAUGCCGCGUGUAUGAAGAAGGCCUUCGGGUUGUAAAGUACUUUCAGCGGGGAGGAAGGGAGUAAAGUUAAUACCUUUGCUCAUUGACGUUACCCGCAGAAGAAGCACCGGCUAACUCCGUG